Molecule: long non-coding RNA, 1586 nt
Filed under: Homo sapiens (human)
Lineage: Eukaryota; Metazoa; Chordata; Mammalia; Primates; Hominidae
Description: HSALNT0267465
Source: RNAcentral
UCAGCUGAAGUCUCACAGCCAGCGAAUGGCAGGCCAGGGCACCAGGGCCUAGGUCUGCCUGCCUCUUCCAUCCACCUUCUGUCAUCACAAGCCUUCUGAUCUCCAGCCCUCUGAUCUGCCCCAGUGGGACCCUCCUGCGUCUCUGCUCUAGUUGUAGAGGACCCAUCAGGCACUUAGAGAGAAAUGAGUGGUGUUGUGAACAUUCGACUGUGUCCAUGUGGAAUCCACACACACAGUUUGCCUGAAAAUGACUGAUAGGAUGGAAACUGACAAGUCAUCAUCCGCUUCGGGCACCAGCGAUGACUGGUUAACAUGAAUAUUGUGUUGAUUUCCGCUAGAUAGAAGAAGAUGUCACUUGUCGUUAAUGGGGUGUCACACGUACACUUGCCUAAAGGAAAAUGCUCUUUUGGUGAUUGUUCUCAAUUUUCACCUCAUUUUAUAGCCAUAAAAAAGAAAAGAUUCAGCAGAAAGGAUGAAUCCACCUAGGGGUAGGAUGGAAAGGCAUUCUUCUCAUUUAUUUCCUUCUUUCUUUACCAGAACAACCAAAACCCAGUGAAAAUGCUGGUGCAAGUCAGAAGAGGGGGACCUGGGUUCUAAGAGCAGCCAGGUACUCUGGGCUUCAGAUCAGAGCCUCAGAAUCCAGCAGUUAUGCCCACAAGGUAGCCAAAGUCCAGCCAGUACCACCGGUCUCUCGGCCAGCUAUACUUGCCUCUGCUCAACAAUGAUGAUUUGAACGUACAUGUACAAAUAAUAACAGAUAACAUUACUGAGCACUUUACUAUGAACUAUGGAAUGUGCUAGGUAAAGACGUUACUCCACGUAAGCCAUAAAAUCAACCUAUGGGGCAGGUGCAGAUCCACAAACCCUGAUUUAAGAAUUCUGAAUCCUCAAAAGCUUUGAAAACCAAAACAUUUUUUCGUACGUGGUAAUAUGGUAAAAUACUUUGGAGGAACUGGAUGUAUUUUUCCUCUGGUCUCCAGAGAAGAAACUGAGACGACAGCAAGUCACAGAUUCAAGCUGUGUUCAUAAUGUGUUUCCACGUGGAGGUCACACUUUCAUGUUCAUGGGCAGAUGAAUUCUAACACCAAACACCAGGCUGAAUAGGUGUUCCCAUUGCAAGAGAAGUGCUGUGCACAAUUUUUAUUUGCAUUUCAAAACCCUAACAAAUGGCCACAAUCAACUACUACAAAUUUCUCCUAAUUAGUUUUAGUCUGCACUUCUGUCACCUUUAGGAGAGAGCCAAAGAUUUUAACCUUCAAAAUUAUCAGCAAUGCAUGUCAGAAAGCAUUUCAAAGAAGAGUCAAAGUGCAUGUAGAAACUAAUUGCUGUAUCUGAAAGUGCUGUUUGAAGAAUUUUUCAGUCUUCAGAGAAGCAAGUUCCCCACCCCUUGGGAAAACUAGUCUUCAAACUAAAAGUUUCCCCAAAUCAUAUACCUGAGAAAAAUGUUAAAACAGACUUACCCAAAAAGGCAAAGAAAUAAAACUGUAAGAAUAAAUAAAUCAGAAAUCAGAUGUCUCUCCCCUGUUUAAAAUCCUCCAACAGCUUCCUACUUUACUUGGAAUAAAACGCAAUUCCUUUACCAUCAC